GGACUACAGGGGUAUCUAAUCCUGUUUGCUCCCCACGCUUUCGCACUUUAGUGUCAGUAUUGGUCCAGGAAGCCGCCUUCGCCACUGAUGUUCUUUCCGAUAUCUACGCAUUUCACCGCUACACCGGAAAUUCCACUUCCCUCUACCAUACUCUAGAUAUCCAGUAUCGAAUGCAAUUCCUAGGUUAAGCCCAGGGAUUUCACAUCCGACUUAAAUAUCCACCUACGUGCGCUUUACGCCCAGUGAUUCCGAUUAACGCUCGCACUCUCUGUAUUACCGCGGCGGCUGGCAC
RNAcentral lists this ribosomal RNA (292 nucleotides) under uncultured bacterium. RNAcentral's name for it is "partial 16S ribosomal RNA". The record is from RNAcentral.